UGGGGAAUAUUGGACAAUGGGGGCAACCCUGAUCCAGCCAUGCCGCGUGUGUGAAGAAGGCCUUUUGGUUGUAAAGCACUUUAAGCAGGGAGGAGAGGCUAAUGGUUAAUACCCAUUAGAUUAGACGUUACCUGCAGAAUAAGCACCGGCUAACUCUGUGCCAGCAGCCGCGGUAAUACAGAGGGUGCGAGCGUUAAUCGGAAUUACUGGGCGUAAAGCGAGUGUAGGUGGCUCAUUAAGUCACAUGUGAAAUCCCCGGGCUUAACCUGGGAACUGCAUGUGAUACUGGUGGUGCUAGAAUAUGUGAGAGGGGAAGUAGAAUUCCCAGGUGUAGCGGUGAAAUGCGUAGAGAUCUGGAGGAAUACCGAUGGCGAAGGCAGCUUCCUGGCAUAAUAUUGACACUGAGAUUCGAAAGCGUGGGUAGCAAAACAGGAUUAGAUACCCUGGUAGUCCACGCCGUAAACGAUGUCUACUAGCCGUUGGGGUCCUUGAGACUUUAGUGGCGCAGUUAACGCGAUAAGUAGACCGCCUGGGGAGUACGGCCGCAAGGUUAAAACU
This 558-nucleotide ribosomal RNA is filed under the name uncultured bacterium. Its description in RNAcentral is "partial 16S ribosomal RNA". It matches the Rfam family "Bacterial small subunit ribosomal RNA", at positions 355 to 901 of the family's 1533-position model. The record is from RNAcentral.